UGGGGAAUAUUGGACAAUGGGGGGAACCCUGAUCCAGCCAUGCCGCGUGUGUGAAGAAGGCCUUAUGGUUGUAAAGCACAUUAAGCGAGGAGGAGGGUACUGGUAUUAAUACUACCAGGUACUGGACGUUACUCGCAGAAUAAGCAUAGUCUAACUCUGUGCCAGCAGCCGCGGUAAUACAGAGGGUGCAAGCGUUAAUCGGAAUUACUGGGCGUAAAGCGCGCGUAGGUGGUUCGUUAAGUUGAAUGUGAAAGCCCCGGGCACAACCUGGGAACUGCUUCCAAAACUGGCGAGCUAGAGUAGGGCAGAGGGUGGUGGAAUUUCCUGUGUAGCGGUGAAAUGCGUAGAUAUAAGAAGGAACACCAGUGGCGAAGGCGACCACCUGGGCUCAUACUGACACUGAGGUGCGAAAGCGUGGGGAGCAAACAGG
Molecule: ribosomal RNA, 430 nt
Filed under: Pseudomonadota bacterium
Lineage: Bacteria; Pseudomonadati; Pseudomonadota
Description: Proteobacteria bacterium partial 16S ribosomal RNA
Rfam family: Bacterial small subunit ribosomal RNA
Source: RNAcentral